GAUUGGAUCACUCGGCUCGUGCGUCGAUGAAGAACGCAGCGAAAUGCGAUAAGUAAUGUGAAUUGCAGAAUUCAGUGAAUCGUCGAAUCUUUGAACGCACCUUGCACUCCUUGGUAUUCCGAGGAGCAUGCCUGUUUGAGUGUC
RNAcentral lists this ribosomal RNA (144 nucleotides) under Leucocoprinus gongylophorus. RNAcentral's name for it is "Leucoagaricus gongylophorus partial 5.8S ribosomal RNA". It matches the Rfam family "5.8S ribosomal RNA". Rfam says of the family: 5.8S ribosomal RNA (5.8S rRNA) is a component of the large subunit of the eukaryotic ribosome. It is transcribed by RNA polymerase I as part of the 45S precursor that also contains 18S and 28S rRNA. Lineage: Eukaryota; Fungi; Basidiomycota; Agaricomycetes; Agaricales; Agaricaceae. The record is from RNAcentral.